RNAcentral lists this ribosomal RNA (398 nucleotides) under uncultured bacterium. Its description in RNAcentral is "bacterial SSU rRNA". It matches the Rfam family "Bacterial small subunit ribosomal RNA", at positions 29 to 429 of the family's 1533-position model. The record is from RNAcentral.
AUUGAACGCUGGCGGCAUGCCUUACACAUGCAAGUCGAACGGCAGCACGGGAGCAAUCCUGGUGGCGAGUGGCGAACGGGUGAGUAAUAUAUCGGAACGUGCCCGGUCGUGGGGGAUAACGUAGCGAAAGCUACGCUAAUACCGCAUACGAUCUACGGAUGAAAGCGGGGGAUCGCAAGACCUCGCGCGAUUGGAGCGGCCGAUAUCAGAUUAGGUAGUUGGUGAGGUAAAGGCUCACCAAGCCGACGAUCUGUAGCUGGUCUGAGAGGACGACCAGCCACACUGGGACUGAGACACGGCCCAGACUCCUACGGGAGGCAGCAGUGGGGAAUUUUGGACAAUGGGCGGCAAGCCUGAUCCAGCAAUGCCGCGUGCAGGAUGAAGGCCUCGGUUGUAAG